CCUACGGGGGGCUGCAGUGGGGAAUAUUGCACAAUGGGGGAAACCCUGAUGCAGCAACGCCGCGUGAGCGAAGAAGGCCUUCGGGUCGUAAAGCUCUGUCCUGAGGGAAGAAGCAUGACGGUACCUCAGGCGGAAACCCCGGGUAACUACGGGCCAGCGGCCGCGGUAAUACGUGGGGGGCGGGCGUUAUCCGGAAUCACUGGGCGUAACGGGUGCGCAGGGGCACAAUUAGGCCAGAGGUGAAAGGCUACGGCGCAACCGUAGUAAGCCUUUGGAACUGAAUUGCUUGAGUGCAGGAGAGGAGAGUGGAAUUCCUAGUGUAGCGGUGAAAUGCGUAGAUAUUAGGAGGAACACCAGUGGCGAAGGCGACUCUCUGGACUGUAACUGACGCUGAGGCACGAAAGCGUGGGGAGCGAACAGGAUUAGAUACCCGUGUAGUC
Molecule: ribosomal RNA, 440 nt
Filed under: uncultured bacterium
Lineage: Bacteria
Description: bacterial SSU rRNA
Rfam family: Bacterial small subunit ribosomal RNA
Source: RNAcentral